Molecule: ribosomal RNA, 406 nt
Filed under: uncultured bacterium
Lineage: Bacteria
Description: partial 16S ribosomal RNA
Rfam family: Bacterial small subunit ribosomal RNA
Source: RNAcentral
AUUGAACGCUGGCGGCAGGCCUAACACAUGCAAGUCGAACGAGUGGCGGACGGGUGAGUACUGUCUGGGAAACUGCCCGAUGGGGGGGGAUAACUACUGGAAACGGUAGCUAAUACCGCAUACCAUCGGGUGUGCCCAGAUGGGAUUAGCUUGUGGGUGGGGUAACGGCCGACCUAGGCGACGAUCCCUAGCUGGUCUGAGAGGAUGACCAGCCACACGGGAACUGAGACACGGUCCAGACUCCUACGGGAGGCAGCAGUGGGGAAUAUUGGACAAUGGGCGAAAGCCUGAUGCAGCCAUGCCGCGUGUGUGAAGAAGGUCUUCGGAUUGUAAAGCACUUUAAGUGGGGAGGCGUUACCAACAGAAUAAGCACCGGCUAACUUCGUGCCAGCAGCCGCGGUAAUUC